RNAcentral lists this long non-coding RNA (275 nucleotides) under Salvia miltiorrhiza (redroot sage). RNAcentral describes it as "long non-coding RNA (SMIL_LNC003577)". The record is from RNAcentral. Lineage: Eukaryota; Viridiplantae; Streptophyta; Magnoliopsida; Lamiales; Lamiaceae.
CGAGCCUUAAACAGAGCAGAGUGCACAUAAACAUUUUAUUGGAUAAACAGUUUUCAUUACAUUAAAUAAACAAUUUGCAUUUCAUUGAAACAUUUAGAGCUUAAUAACUCAAUCAUACUUUGUACAUUUGGAAAGUAAUGCCCACCUGGAUAGGCAAAGCCUGAAGAUCAUACACAUAUAAACCUGUCUUGGAAAAGUAGCGCUAAUCCUCCUGGUCAUCACAAAGCCUACAAGAAAUUCUAUUCUUAAUAGGUCUCGUGAAGCUAACUUAAUAU